Molecule: ribosomal RNA, 487 nt
Filed under: Clostridiales bacterium oral taxon F32
Lineage: Bacteria; Bacillati; Bacillota; Clostridia; Eubacteriales
Description: bacterial SSU rRNA
Rfam family: Bacterial small subunit ribosomal RNA
Source: RNAcentral
GAGUUUGAUCCUGGCUCAGGAUAAACGCGGGCGGCGCACAUAAGACAUGCAAGUCGAACGAAAGUCGUGUAUAUGAAAUUGACUAAGAAUUUAGAUUUAUCUAGAAGAUGAGAAUGUAGAUUAUACAACAAUGGCUUUAGUGGCGGACUGGUGAGUAAUACGUAAGCAACCUGCCUAUUAGAGGGGAAUAACAAUUAGAAAUGAUUGAUAAUACCGCAUAUGCCAUAGUCAUCACAUGAUGAUAGUGGGAAAGGAGUAAUCCGCUGAUAGAUGGGCUUACGCCUGAUUAGAUAGUUGGUAGGGUAAUGGCCUACCAAGUCUGCGAUCAGUAGCCGAACUGAGAGGUUGAACGGCCACAUUGGGACUGAGAUACGGCCCAGACUCCUACGGGAGGCAGCAGUCGGGAAUAUUGCGCAAUGGAGGAAACUCUGACGCAGUGACGCCGCGUGCAGGAAAGAAAGGUUUUUCGGAUUGUAAAACUGCCUUA